This 254-nucleotide ribosomal RNA is filed under the name uncultured bacterium. RNAcentral describes it as "partial 16S ribosomal RNA". It matches the Rfam family "Bacterial small subunit ribosomal RNA", at positions 524 to 776 of the family's 1533-position model. The record is from RNAcentral.
UACGUAGGGGCAAGCGUUGUCCGGAAUCAUUGGGCGUAAAGCGCGCGUAGGCGGCCCGGGUAAGUCCGCUGUAAAAGUCCAGGGCUCAACCCUGGAAAGCCGGUGGAUACUGUCGGGCUAGAGUCCGGAAGAGGCGAGUGGAAUUCCUGGUGUAGCGGUGGAAUGCGCAGAUAUCAGGAGGAACACCGAUGGCGAAGGCAGCUCGCUGGGACGGUAACUGACGCUGAGACGCGAAAGCGUGGGGAGCGAACAGG